AGUACUCCUACGGGGAGGCAGCAGUGGGGGAAUAUUGCACAAUGGGCGCAAGCCUGAUGCAGCCAUGCCGCGUGUGUGAAGAAGGCCUUCGGGUUGUAAAGCACUUUCAGUCGUGAGGAAGGUAGUGUAGUUAAUAGCUGCAUUAUUUGACGUUAGCGACAGAAGAAGCACCGGCUAACUCCGUGCCAGCAGCCGCGGUAAUACGGAGGGUGCGAGCGUUAAUCGGAAUUACUGGGCGUAAAGCGCAUGCAGGUGGUUUGUUAAGUCAGAUGUGAAAGCCCGGGGCUCAACCUCGGAAUAGCAUUUGAAACUGGCAGACUAGAGUACUGUAGAGGGGGGUAGGAAUUUCAGGUGUAGCGGUGAAAUGCGUAGAGAUCUGAAGGAAUACCGGUGGCGAAGGCGGCCCCCUCGGACAGAUACUGACACUCAGAUGCGAAAGCGUGGGGAGCAAACAGGAUUAGAUACCCUGGUAG
This 473-nucleotide ribosomal RNA is filed under the name uncultured bacterium. Its description in RNAcentral is "bacterial SSU rRNA". It matches the Rfam family "Bacterial small subunit ribosomal RNA", at positions 332 to 793 of the family's 1533-position model. The record is from RNAcentral.